AACUGAGGCUGGAGCCUGCACUGCUGUCGCACCGGGUCUCUGCAGGUCUUACAUGUAGCUUAGUGAAGUCUGCAGAAACCCUGUGACAGCAAUACCAGGUUCCUCUGAUCCCUGAACCUGAUCGCAGAAACCAGGUUCCUGUGAUCCCUGAACCUGAUCGCAGAAACCAGGUUCCUGUGAUCCCUGAACCUGAUUGCAGAAACCAGGUUCCUUGUUUACAUGAUGUUUAAGAAAUCAGAUUACUGGAGAAAGACGACUGU
Siniperca chuatsi (mandarin fish) is the source of this 260-nucleotide long non-coding RNA. RefSeq lists it as uncharacterized. The transcript is spliced from 3 exons. NCBI's taxonomy places the organism in Eukaryota, Metazoa, Chordata, Actinopteri, Centrarchiformes, Sinipercidae. The record is from RefSeq and is a predicted model, not a curated record.